GACGAACGCUGGCGGCGUGCUUAACACAUGCAAGUCGAACGGAAAGGCCCUGCUUUUGUGGGGUGCUCGAGUGGCGAACGGGUGAGUAACACGUGAGUAACCUGCCCUUGACUUUGGGAUAACUUCAGGAAACUGGGGUUAAUAUCGGAUAGGAGCCCCUGCUGCAUGGUGGGGGUUGGAAAGUUUCGGCGGUUGGGGAUGGACUCGCGGCUUAUCAGCUUGUUGGUGGGGUAGUGGCUUACCAAGGCUUUGACGGGUAGCCGGCAUGAGAGGGUGACCGGCCACAUUGGGACUGAGAUACGGCCCAGACUCCUACGGUGGGCAGCAGUGGGGAAUAUUGCACAAUGGGCGGAAGCCUGAUGCAGCAACGCCGCGUGCGGGAUGACGGCCUUCGGGUUGUAAACCGCUUUCGCCUGUGACGAAGCGUGAGUGACGGUAAUGGGUAAAGAAGCACCGGCUAACUACGUG
Molecule: ribosomal RNA, 468 nt
Filed under: uncultured bacterium
Lineage: Bacteria
Description: partial 16S ribosomal RNA
Rfam family: Bacterial small subunit ribosomal RNA
Source: RNAcentral